RNAcentral lists this non-coding RNA (25 nucleotides) under Mus musculus (house mouse). Lineage: Eukaryota; Metazoa; Chordata; Mammalia; Rodentia; Muridae. The record is from RNAcentral.
UAAGAGGUUGCCUGAACAAGAGGAG